CGGGAGAAUUGCUAGCUUGCUAAUAAUUCUCUAGUGGCGCACGGGUGAGUAACACGUGAGUAACCUGCCCCCAAGAGUGGGAUAGCCCCGGGAAACUGGGAUUAAUACCGCAUAAAAUCGCAAGAUUAAAGCAGCAAUGCGCUUGGGGAUGGGCUCGCGUCCUAUUAGUUAGUUGGUGAGGUAACGGCUCACCAAGGCGAUGACGGGUAGCCGGUCUGAGAGGAUGUCCGGCCACACUGGAACUGAGACACGGUCCAGACACCUACGGGUGGCAGCAGUCGAGAAUCAUUCACAAUGGGGGAAACCCUGAUGGUGCGACGCCGCGUGGGGGAAUGAAGGUCUUCGGAUUGUAAACCCCUGUCAUGUGGGAGCAAAUUAAAAAGAUAGUACCACAAGAGGAAGAGACGGCUAACUCUGUGCCAGCAGCCGCGGUAAUACAGAGGUCUCAAGCGUUGUUCGGAAUCACUGGGCGUAAAGCGUGCGUAGGCGGUUUCGUAAGUCGUGUGUGAAAGGCGGGGGCUCAACCCCCGGACUGCACAUGAUACUGCGAGACUAGAGUAAUGGAGGGGGAACCGGAAUUCUCGGUGUAGCAGUGAAAUGCGUAGAUAUCGAGAGGAACACUCGUGGCGAAGGCGGGUUCCUGGACAUUAACUGACGCUGAGGCACGAAGGCCAGGGGAGCGAAAGGGAUUAGAUACCCCUGUAGUCCUGGCAGUAAACGGUGCACGCUUGGUGUGCGGGGAAUCGACCCCCUGCGUGCCGGAGCUAACGCGUUAAGCGU
RNAcentral lists this ribosomal RNA (780 nucleotides) under uncultured bacterium. RNAcentral describes it as "bacterial SSU rRNA". It matches the Rfam family "Bacterial small subunit ribosomal RNA", at positions 67 to 867 of the family's 1533-position model. The record is from RNAcentral.